GAUGCCUACCAUAAGUCUAUUUAAGGUCAACAACACUGCAAUAAAUAAAUCAUGCUUUUCACAUCAGCAAGUUGUUAUAAACUCUCCAUACGUGACUGUAAUACACUCCUUAUGACAGAAGCAACACCACUCGCUGGGGCGAAUCUACUGUACGAUAGUGGAGGCGGACCUGCAGCCCACAGCAUGACGCGACCCGUGCAUUCACUCUACGGUCGGCUAAAAUAAAAAAGAAAAGGCGAAAAACGAUAGAAAAAAACAGAACGAGUGGGAAAAAAACGUCGACGCUGGAACCGAGGCGGUUUUACGCAGACUUCCGGCACAUGAGUCUCGACGAUCGGGCGACAGCAGCGCCAGCGGCUCACAUCAACAGCCAAAAACAAGCUUCAAAGUGAAAAAUAAAGACGAUUACCAGCUCUCAAGACUUUAGCUUCGCCCGCCGGGGAUUUCCUCCGAUCGGGGUAGUUUGUAAAGUCUUUCCGAACCCACCCGAUUGAAGAAUUUCAAUGUUUUUUUUCCCUCCCUUGUGUUUUUUCUAUUUUUUUCUUUUCUUACGGAGUUAGCCGAACUGUCUACACAGCACUUCCUCCCGAGCGGCGCGAAUGAUGCCCGUGCGUCAGGACGUCAUUUCCGCCCAGUAAGGUCAAACGUGUCCAAGAACUUUGUUUUUAACACCGUGAAUGUUCAUUACGCUUUUACACUAAAACACAUUAUUUUGUCCUAUAAAAACAAUGAUUUAGACAUUGUAAUCAUUGUUUCACAUUGUUAAUGAAACAUUUGCAAACAUCCAUCACAAGUUCCAGAUUUUUCGUUUUCAGUUAAACAACUUUCUGUAUUCUUCAAAUGAUCAUACAAAAUUGUAAGGCACUGCAAUUGCAUGCUUUCAAACGUACUUACGUUUGUAUAGAUGUAUGCUACAAAGCAAUGUUCAAUUAAUCUACUGGUAGGCCUGUGCCAUGUUUGUUGUAUUUUACACCUGUAUGUAUGUGUGUUGCUUAAGAAAUAAAAAAAUGUCAAAGAACAAAAGUGUUGUAAUACACAA
This is a long non-coding RNA of Megalobrama amblycephala (Wuchang bream), 1039 nucleotides long. RefSeq lists it as uncharacterized. The transcript is spliced from 2 exons. Lineage: Eukaryota; Metazoa; Chordata; Actinopteri; Cypriniformes; Xenocyprididae. The record is from RefSeq and is a predicted model, not a curated record.